This 229-nucleotide ribosomal RNA is filed under the name uncultured Staphylococcus sp. Its description in RNAcentral is "partial 16S ribosomal RNA". It matches the Rfam family "Bacterial small subunit ribosomal RNA", at positions 111 to 334 of the family's 1533-position model. Lineage: Bacteria; Bacillati; Bacillota; Bacilli; Caryophanales; Staphylococcaceae. The record is from RNAcentral.
UAACACGUGGAUAACCUACCUAUAAGACUGGGAUAACUUCGGGAAACCGGAGCUAAUACCGGAUAAUAUUUUGAACCGCAUGGUUCAAAAGUGAAAGACGGUCUUGCUGUCACUUAUAGAUGGAUCUGCGCUGCAUUAGCUAGUUGGUAAGGUAACGGCUUACCAAGGCAACGAUGCAUAGCCGACCUGAGAGGGUGAUCGGCCACACUGGAACUGAGACAUGGUCCAG